AUUUGAUAUCAUCUAUCCCUUUAGCCUUAGUGGGGACCAUCUUCCUGUACGUGGUCAUGAUAUCUUUUGGAUGCAGCUUUAUUUGCCUUUAAGCCUAUAGAUAAGAUACUUCGUUCCUUAUCCAUUUGACAUUAUAUAUUGUUCCUUGGGCCUCGUCAGUUGUGGAAUUCAAGGAUGGACAAACGAUCCGCCACUGCUUGUUUUAUGGUGAUGCUUGUGUUGUUAGGAAGCAGUAUGACUACAGAGAACUGUGAGAUUAAGCGCGACAUGAUGACAUUUUGUAUAAAGUCUGAAUGCCUGUAUCAUUGCCAGCAUCGUUGGUAUUAUAAAGUCACGCAGUCUUGGUGUGA
Molecule: long non-coding RNA, 350 nt
Organism: Triticum urartu
Lineage: Eukaryota; Viridiplantae; Streptophyta; Magnoliopsida; Poales; Poaceae
Source: RefSeq, a predicted model, not a curated record